This is a long non-coding RNA of Chrysoperla carnea, 72 nucleotides long. RefSeq lists it as uncharacterized. The transcript is spliced from 3 exons. The record is from RefSeq and is a predicted model, not a curated record. Lineage: Eukaryota; Metazoa; Arthropoda; Insecta; Neuroptera; Chrysopidae.
GAGAACACUUUUUUCAAAAGUUGGCAUACUUUAUCCACAAAGUUGACCUGGUAACCUAUUAUUUCUUGAAAA